Molecule: ribosomal RNA, 459 nt
Filed under: uncultured bacterium
Lineage: Bacteria
Description: partial 16S ribosomal RNA
Rfam family: Bacterial small subunit ribosomal RNA
Source: RNAcentral
CCUACGGGUGUCAGCAGUGAGGAAUAUUGGUCAAUGGCCGAGAGUCUGAACCAGCCAAGUAGCGUGAGGGAAGACGGCCCUACGGGUUGUAAACCUCUUUUGUCGGGGAGUAAAGCGAGUCACGUGUGACUCAUUGAGAGUACCCGAAGAAAAAGGAUCGGCUAACUCCGUGCCAGCAGCCGCGGUAAUACGGAGGAUGCGAGCGUUAUCCGGAGUUAUUGGGUGGAAAGGGUGCGCAGGCGGAGGUGCAAGUCAGCGGUCAAAUUGCGGGGCUCAACCCCGUACUGCCGUUGAAACUGCAUGCCUUGAGUGCGCGAGAAGCAGGCGGAAUGCGUGGUGUAGCGGUGAAAUGCAGAGAUAUCACGCAGAACUCCGAUUGCGAAGGCAGCAUACCGGCGCGCAACUGACGCUCAUGCACGAAAGCGGGGGUAUCGAACAGGAUUAGAUACCCCUGUAGUC